GCGCGGGUGGUGAAACUGGUAUACACGUAGUCUUGAGGAGGCUAUGCCGUAAGGCGUGCAGGUUCAAGUCCUGUCCCGCGCACUA
This 85-nucleotide transfer RNA is filed under the name Candidatus Woesebacteria bacterium RIFCSPHIGHO2_01_FULL_38_9b. Its description in RNAcentral is "tRNA-Leu". It matches the Rfam family "tRNA". From Rfam's summary of the family: Transfer RNA (tRNA) molecules are approximately 80 nucleotides in length. Their secondary structure includes four short double-helical elements and three loops (D, anti-codon, and T loops). The record is from RNAcentral. Lineage: Bacteria; Candidatus Woeseibacteriota.